RNAcentral lists this ribosomal RNA (434 nucleotides) under uncultured bacterium. RNAcentral's name for it is "partial 16S ribosomal RNA". It matches the Rfam family "Bacterial small subunit ribosomal RNA", at positions 29 to 507 of the family's 1533-position model. The record is from RNAcentral.
ACGAACGCUGGCGGCAGGCCUAACACAUGCAAGUCGAGCGGACAUCUUCGGAUGUUAGCGGCGGACGGGUGAGUAACGCGUGGGAACGUGCCCUUUGCUUCGGAAUAGCCUCGGGAAACUGGGAGUAAUACCGGAUGUACCCUUUGGGGGAAAGAUUUAUCGGCAAAGGAUCGGCCCGCGUUGGAUUAGGUAGUUGGUGGGGUAAUGGCCUACCAAGCCGACGAUCCAUAGCUGGUUUGAGAGGAUGAUCAGCCACACUGGGACUGAGACACGGCCCAGACUCCUACGGGAGGCAGCAGUGGGGAAUCUUAGACAAUGGGGGAAACCCUGAUCGAGCCAUGCCGCGUGAGCGAUGAAGGCCUUAGGGUUGUAAAGCUCUUUCACCGGGGAAGAUAAUGACGGUACCCGGAGAAGAAGCCCCGGCUAACUCCGUG